GAUCCUGGCUCAGGACGAACGCUGGCGGCGUGCCUAAUACAUGCAAGUCGAGCGAAUCGAUAGAAGCUUGCUUCUAUUGGUUAGCGGCGGACGGGUGAGUAACACGUGGGCAACCUGCCUGUAAGACUGGGAUAACUUCGGGAAACCGGAGCUAAUACCGGAUAAUCCUUUUCCUCACAUGAGGAAAAGCUGAAAGUCGGCAUCUAGCUGACACUUACAGAUGGGCCCGCGGCGCAUUAGCUAGUUGGUGAGGUAACGGCUCACCAAGGCGACGAUGCGUAGCCGACCUGAGAGGGUGAUCGGCCACACUGGGACUGAGACACGGCCCAGACUCCUACGGGAGGCAGCAGUAGGGAAUCUUCCACAAUGGACGAAAGUCUGAUGGAGCAACGCCGCGUGAGCGAAGAAGGCCUUCGGGUCGUAAAGCUCUGUUGUUAGGGAAGAACAAGUAUCGGAGUAACUGCCGGUACCUUGACGGUACCUAACCAGAAAGCCACGGCUAACUACGUGCCAGCAGCCGCGGUAAUACGUAGGUGGCAAGCGUUGUCCGGAAUUAUUGGGCGUAAAGCGCGCGCAGGCGGUCCUUUAAGUCUGAUGUGAAAGCCCACGGCUCAACCGUGGAGGGUCAUUGGAAACUGGGGGACUUGAGUGCAGAGGAGGAAAGCGGAAUUCCACGUGUAGCGGUGAAAUGCGUAGAGAUGUGGAGGAACACCAGUGGCGAAGGCGGCUUUCUGGUCUGUAACUGACGCUGAGGCGCGAAAGCGUGGGGAGCAAACAGGAUUAGAUACCCUGGUAGUCCACGCCGUAAACG
Molecule: ribosomal RNA, 811 nt
Filed under: uncultured bacterium
Lineage: Bacteria
Description: bacterial SSU rRNA
Rfam family: Bacterial small subunit ribosomal RNA
Source: RNAcentral